RNAcentral lists this ribosomal RNA (468 nucleotides) under uncultured bacterium. RNAcentral describes it as "partial 16S ribosomal RNA". It matches the Rfam family "Bacterial small subunit ribosomal RNA", at positions 28 to 507 of the family's 1533-position model. The record is from RNAcentral.
GACGAACGCUGGCGGCGUGCUUAACACAUGCAAGUCGAACGGAAAGGCCCUGCUUUUGUGGGGUGCUCGAGUGGCGAACGGGUGAGUAACACGUGAGUAACCUGCCCUUGACUUUGGGAUAACUUCAGGAAACUGGGGCUAAUACCGGAUAGGAGCUCCUGCUGCAUGGAGGGGGUUGGAAAGUUUCGGCGGUUGGGGAUGGACUCGCGGCUUAUCAGCUUGUUGGUGGGGUAGUGGCUUACCAAGGCUUUGACGGGUAGCCGGCCUGAGAGGGUGACCGGCCACAUUGGGACUGAGAUACGGCCCAGACUCCUACGGGAGGCAGCAGUGGGGAAUAUUGCACAAUGGGCGGACGCCUGAUGCAGCAACGCCGCGUGCGGGAUGACGGCCUUCGGGUUGUAAACCGCUUUCGCCUGUGACGAAGCGUGAGUGACGGUAAUGGGUAAAGAAGCACCGGCUAACUACGUG